GAUGAACGCUGGCGGCGUGCCUAAUACAUGCAAGUCGAGCGAACAGACGAGGAGCUUGCUCCUCUGACGUUAGCGGCGGACGGGUGAGUAACACGUGGAUAACCUACCUAUAAGACUGGGAUAACUUCGUGAAACCGGAGCUAAUACCGGAUAAUAUAUUGAACCGCAUGGAUCAAUAGUGAAAGACGGUUUUGCUGUCUCUUAUAGAUGGAUCCGCGCCGCAUUAGCUAGUUGGUAAGGUAACGGCUUACCAAGGCAACGAUGCGUAGCCGACCUGAGAGGGUGAUCGGCCACACUGGAACUGAGACACGGUCCAGACUCCUACGGGAGGCAGCAGUAGGGAAUCUUCCGCAAUGGGCGAAAGCCUGACGGAGCAACGCCGCGUGAGUGAUGAAGGUCUUCGGAUCGUAAAACUCUGUUAUUAGGGAAGAACAACUGUGUAAGUAACUAUGCACGUCUUGACGGUACCUAAUCAGAAAGCCACGGCUAACUACGUG
This 497-nucleotide ribosomal RNA is filed under the name uncultured bacterium. RNAcentral describes it as "partial 16S ribosomal RNA". It matches the Rfam family "Bacterial small subunit ribosomal RNA", at positions 28 to 507 of the family's 1533-position model. The record is from RNAcentral.